Molecule: long non-coding RNA, 1418 nt
Filed under: Crocodylus porosus (Australian saltwater crocodile)
Lineage: Eukaryota; Metazoa; Chordata; Crocodylia; Crocodylidae
Description: lncRNA (ENSCPRG00005018435.1)
Source: RNAcentral
CAUAUUGAUACCCCUACAAGACAAUAUCUCCCACUACUAUUUUGGUGUCUAAAGUUUGUUAGUUUUCUGCCAUUUUUAAAAACAGAUGAAACCGACAGAAAAGUCCAUUCACUGAAAUUGUGAUUCAGCCCAAUAGUCUGCAUGCUAAACUCCCCCAUGAAGAGUGUUUGUCUAUUGUAAUUUUCCAAGCUACAAAUACUGUAAUGCAGUUUCCAACCUCUCAUAAUUAAUCACAAUUACUUACAGCAGUAUUAAGAAUGAUAACUAUUUGGGCCAGUAAUGGACUACGAUGGACACCAAUGUUCUGUCCUUCUUGUGAAUGAAUCCAAGAUCAGCUGCUUGAAAGCUGUCGACAGCAAUAUCAGGGCACAGCUGCAGAGAAAAUGAUUCAACCUCCAUAUGCUGCCACUGUGAAUACUAUACCAUAAUUCAUAAAUAUGAAGAGUGAAAGUAUCAUUAUUCAAUGUCCCUGAAGAAAAUGAAAGCCUAUGUUUUUUUAGUAUUCAUCCAUUUUGCAGCAUGAUUUAAUUUAAUUUUAAUGUAUGCAUUAUUUUCCUUAGCAAAGGCUUGAUAUGGUAAAAUAAUCAAAUACUGAAUCAAUAUGCAAUGAAGUGUUCUGAUAUCCUUUUCUAUUAGUUUAUAUUAUUAUUAAAGCACGAUAUUGUCUGAAUAUUUUUAGAGAUGUUUACUAUCAUACCUUACCACUACUACAAAAUGUAUUUAUUUGAUAGUGUCAUAGAAAAAAUCUUGCACAGGCUAUCUGAAUUAUGUUAAAUGAAAUAUGUUCACUGUCUUAAUUAUUCUAUACGAUUAAAAUCAAAGGCAGCUGGGAUAAAAACUGAAGUCUAAACAUGCCAUAUAUAUCAUAUGUACAACAGGGCACAUAGAAGUCAAAAGGUCAUUAUUUUUCUGAAAAUUACAUAUUCUCAUGCAAAAUCUGAUAGUCUUUAUUGAUGGACAAUGUCAUAAAGCCAUCACUGUGUUUAUAGACAUUUAAUUGAAGACAGCAUAAAACGAUAAACUAAGAAACAUGCAUGGUUGACUCCUCCAAUUCAAACCAUAAAUCAUACUGAUGUUCAGACAAGUCGCCCAGACACAAAUUCUGAUGAUAGAUGAACCAUUUAACUUUGAUUUUUGAAAGCAAUGAGCUCGCUAGCAAUACCUCACACUGACUAAUACCACAUAUGGUCAUAUAAGAACUCAUCAAAAAUCCAUUUUUCCCUUGUGUGGAUGCUAAAAUUAUCUUCUAAAUGAUCAUUAUUAAAAGUAUGCAGUGUGUAACAUCUUUCUAAUGUGCAUAGCUGGAUUCAAAGUCUACUUGCUUCAGUAAGCAAUGAUUUUAUCACUAUUGCUAAUCUUAAAAGAAGGGCUCUUAAAAUAUAAAUAAAAAAGAUGAGGUAAUCUGUAGAAUUAAUUUA